RNAcentral lists this ribosomal RNA (259 nucleotides) under uncultured Leptotrichia sp. RNAcentral describes it as "partial 16S ribosomal RNA". It matches the Rfam family "Bacterial small subunit ribosomal RNA", at positions 95 to 354 of the family's 1533-position model. Lineage: Bacteria; Fusobacteriati; Fusobacteriota; Fusobacteriia; Fusobacteriales; Leptotrichiaceae. The record is from RNAcentral.
AUGGCGGACGGGUGAGUAACGCGUAAGAACUUGCCCUUUAGACUGGGAUAACAGAGGGAAACUUCUGAUAAUACUGGAUAAGUUAGUAUAUCGCAUGAUAUGCAAAUGAAAGCUACGGCACUAAAGGAGAGCUUUGCGUCCUAUUAGCUAGUUGGUAAGGUAAGAGCUUACCAAGGCGAUGAUAGGUAGCCGGCCUGAGAGGGUGGACGGCCACAAGGGGACUGAGAUACGGCCCUUACUCCUACGGGAGGCAGCAGGG